Long non-coding RNA from Mauremys reevesii (Reeves's turtle), 858 nucleotides. RefSeq lists it as uncharacterized. The transcript has 3 exons. NCBI's taxonomy places the organism in Eukaryota, Metazoa, Chordata, Testudines, Geoemydidae. The record is from RefSeq and is a predicted model, not a curated record.
GCUUGCCAAUAAAUCCUGUUUGACAAUUCAGGAGAAUCUCUAAAAGAUGCUCUAAAUAGCAAAUCUGAAUUUACUACAUAUGGACAAUAAUACUUAUUGUAUUAAUGUCUCCUCUGUCAUACCCCAGUGUGCACAUUAUGCCGCCUUAAAAAUGCUGAUACUAUUUUAAUUAGGCAACGACUAUGGGUAAAGUUCCCCUACAUAGUAGCCCUCUGCCUCUUAAUCCCAUGUUAUCAUACUUGUAUUUUAAGAUUCUAGAUGGGAUUUUUGAAAAACUUCCUUUUGGAGGCUUAAUUUAAAAACCAGAAUACCACCACAGAUAGCCACUGUUUCUUCAGAAAUUGUAUUGAACUUAGAAACGUUUAUAAAGCUUCACUUUUUCAGAGCCCAAAUGUCACUUGCCCUUCACUCUGGGAUAGACCUUGCAAUCUCUGAUUAGAUCUUCCAUUAUCUUUUUUCCCCCUAACUUGGAGCACCAAGUGUCUAUUCAUCUAAUAUUCUUGGUACACAACAUCCAUGCUCCAAGAAGCUUACAGUCUAAGCAGACAAAGGAUGAAAGAUGGAAUGCAACAAGAUGAAAAUGCCAAGAUAUGGAUGAUCUUUGAAAGCCCAUGAACCUGACUGAUUUCCAGAGCAAAGAUGAGCCAUUAAGUUUGUCUGGAGGAUGAAGGUUGCCGAUGGAGAUCUGCUCCAUCAUGCCAAGUUCUGCAAGGUCCCUUGCACUAGUGGUGAGAUAAUGCUGCCCACUUCUUGUUUACGAUGUCACCUGAAAGUGAGAACAGGCAUUUGCAUGGCACUGUUGGAGCCAGCAUAAGUUAGGGUUCUCAUCACUACAACUGGAAACUCCAGAUUCAGGAU